This 429-nucleotide ribosomal RNA is filed under the name Verrucomicrobiota bacterium. RNAcentral's name for it is "Verrucomicrobia bacterium partial 16S ribosomal RNA". It matches the Rfam family "Bacterial small subunit ribosomal RNA", at positions 355 to 776 of the family's 1533-position model. Lineage: Bacteria; Pseudomonadati; Verrucomicrobiota. The record is from RNAcentral.
UGGGGAAUCUUCCGCAAUGGGCGAAAGCCUGACGGAGCAACGCCGCGUUAGUGAAGACGGCCUUCGGGUUGUAAAACUCUGUGAUUCGGGACGAAAGAUAAGCAGACGAAUAAUCUGCAUAAGUGACGGUACCGAAAAAGCAAGCCACGGCUAACUACGUGCCAGCAGCCGCGGUAAUACGUAGGUGGCAAGCGUUGUCCGGAAUUAUUGGGCGUAAAGCGCGCGCAGGCGGCUACUUAAGUCCAUCUUAAAAGUGCGGGGCUUAACCCCGUGAUGGGAUGGAAACUGAGAAGCUGGAGUGUCGGAGAGGAAAGUGGAAUUCCUAGUGUAGCGGUGAAAUGCGUAGAGAUUAGGAAGAACACCGGUGGCGAAGGCGACUUUCUGGACGACAACUGACGCUUAGGCGCGAAAGCGUGGGGAGCAAACAGG